CAGAACGCUUCACUUUCACCAUGUACACAGUGAUCUGAUCUCAGCUUGUUUGCUCUGAUGAUGAUGAUAUCUGAAGUGAAUUGCGAUCAGUGUUCAUGUUGAGAAGAAAGUUGGCUAGAAGUGAGGAUGUAACCCAAGUGCAGUAUUUUUCAACAAAGGCAAUCUGUGGCAAAAGAAGCAAACUGAGGAGAUAGCAUUAUCUAAAUGAUAUGAGGAAAAGCAGUGGGACAUCCAAAUGAGCCACAUGUCAAUAAUCAGAGCAGUAGUAUUUAUAAUAGCAGGAUGUUAACCCAGUUUCAAAUUGUAACUCAGCCCAUAUUUUGUUUUUUUUUCCUAAAAGUAACAGAAAAUUCUUACCAGUAUUCAUUUGGUUGUAGUACAUUAGGAACUUUUAGACAGGGAAAGGCAUCAAAAUAUUUGUGAGUCCUCAAAAGGGAAGUA
Pezoporus occidentalis (night parrot) is the source of this 441-nucleotide long non-coding RNA. RefSeq lists it as uncharacterized. NCBI's taxonomy places the organism in Eukaryota, Metazoa, Chordata, Aves, Psittaciformes, Psittacidae. The record is from RefSeq and is a predicted model, not a curated record. The transcript has 3 exons.